GAUCGGCCACACUGGGACUGAGACACGGCCCAGACUCCUACGGGAGGCAGCAGUAGGGAAUCUUCCGCAAUGGACGAAAGUCUGACGGAGCAACGCCGCGUGAGUGAUGAAGGUUUUCGGAUCGUAAAGCUCUGUUGUUAGGGAAGAACAAGUGCAAGAGUAACUGCUUGCACCUUGACGGUACCUAACCAGAAAGCCACGGCUAACUACGUGCCAGCAGCCGCGGUAAUACGUAGGUAGGCAAGCGUUGUCCGGAAUUAUUGGGCGUAAAGGGCUCGCAGGCGGUUUCUUAAGUCUGAUGUGAAAGCCCCCGGCUCAACCGGGGAGGGUCAUUGGAAACUGGGAAACUUGAGUGCAGAAGAGGAGAGUGGAAUUCCACGUGUAGCGGUGAAAUGCGUAGAGAUGUGGAGGAACACCAGUGGCGAAGGCGACUCUCUGGUCUGUAACUGACGCUGAGGAGCGAAAGCGUGGGGAGCGAACAGGAUUAGAUACCCUGGUAGUCCACGCCGUAAACGAUGAGUGCUAAGUGUUAGGGGGUUUCCGCCCCUUAGUGCUGCAGCUAACGCAUUAAGCACUCUGCCUGGGGCAGUACGUGCGAAAGA
This 602-nucleotide ribosomal RNA is filed under the name Bacillus pumilus. RNAcentral's name for it is "bacterial SSU rRNA". It matches the Rfam family "Bacterial small subunit ribosomal RNA", at positions 302 to 893 of the family's 1533-position model. The record is from RNAcentral. Lineage: Bacteria; Bacillati; Bacillota; Bacilli; Caryophanales; Bacillaceae.